GUGAAUCAUCAAAUUUUUGAACGCAAAUUGCACUCCCUGGUAUUCCGGGGAGUAUGCCUGUUUGAGGGUCAGCCCAUAAAAAAUCGACAUCGUUGCUGUUUCGCGGUGUCGUUCGUCGGAAAUUGGGCCAUCUUACAUCCUUUUGAUUUAAGCGACUUAAAAUUUUCUUUUGGUUCCAUGAACGUUUCUAAGAUCUAUUUCUUUACACGUUUAAGGUAUCGAUUUUUAUUAGACGUGGCCGUCAUAUCGGAUCGCGUCCAUAAUUUUUCGCUAACUGACCUCAGACAGGUAAGAGUACCC
This 300-nucleotide unclassified non-coding RNA is filed under the name Glomeraceae sp. Its description in RNAcentral is "partial contains 5.8S ribosomal RNA and internal transcribed spacer 2". The stretch from base 1 to 71 matches the Rfam family "5.8S ribosomal RNA", at positions 84 to 154 of the family's 154-position model. The record is from RNAcentral. Lineage: Eukaryota; Fungi; Glomeromycota; Glomeromycetes; Glomerales; Glomeraceae.